GGACACUGUAGCCUGGUGGUCAGCGAGUUAUGCCUGGCGGUUACAGGACACUGUAGCCUGGUGGUCAGCGACUUAGAGCUGGCGGUUACAGGACACUGUAGCCUGGUGGUCAGCGACUUAGAGCUGGGGGUUAGAGGACACUGUAGCCUGGUGGUUAGAGACUUAUGCCUGGCGGUUACAGGACACUGUAGCCUGGUGGUCAGCGACUUAUGCCUGGUGGUUACAGGGCACUGUAGCCUGGUGGUUAGAGACUUAUGCCUGGCGGUUACAGGACACUGUAGCCUGGCGGUUAGAGACUUAUACCUGGUGGUUACAGGACACUGUAGCCUGGUGGUCAGCGACUUAUGCCUGGCGGUUACAGGACACUGUAGCCUGGUGGUUAGAGACUUAGAGCUGGCGGUUACAGGACACUGUAGCCUGGUGGUCAGCGACUUAUGCCUGGCGGUUACAGGACACUGUAGCCUGGUGGUCAGCGACUUAGAGCUGGCGGUUACAGGACACUGUAGCCUGGUGGUCAGCGACUUAGAGCUGGGGGUUAGAGGACACUGUAGCCUGGUGGUUAGAGACUUAUGCCUGGCGGUUACAGGAAACUGUAGCCUGGUGGUCAGCGACUUAUGCCUGGUGGUUACAGGACACUGUAGCCUGGUGGUUAGAGACUUAGAGCUGGCGGUUACAGGACACUGUAGCCUGGUGGUUAGAGACUUAUGCCUGGCGGUUACAGGACACUGUAGCCUGGUGGUCAGCGACUUAUGCCUGGCGGUUACAGGACACUGUAGCCUGGUGGUUAGAGACUUAUGCCUGGCGGUUACAGGACACUGUAGCCUGGCGGUUAGAGACUUAUACCUGGUGGUUACAGGACACUGUAGCCUGGUGGUUAGAGACUUAUGCCUGGUGGUUACAGGACACUGUAGCCUGGUGGUCAGCGACUUAUGCCUGGCGGUUACAGGACACUGUAGCCUGGUGGUCAGCGACUUAUGCCUGGCGGUUACAGGACACUGUAGCCUGGUGGUUAGAGACUUAGAGCUGGCGGUUACAGGACACUGUAGCCUGGUGGUCAGCGAGUUAUGCCUGGCGGUUACAGGACACUGUAGCCUGGUGGUCAGCGACUUAUGCCUGGCGGUUACAGGACACUGUAGCCUGGUGGUCAGCGACUUAGAGCUGGCGGUUACAGGACACUGUAGCCUGGUGGUCAGCGACUUAGAGCUGGGGGUUAGAGGACACUGUAGCCUGGUGGUUAGAGACUUAUGCCUGGUGGUUACAGGACACUGUAGCCUGGUGGUCAGCGACUUAUGCCUGGUGGUUACAGGACACUGUAGCCUGGUGGUUAGAGACUUAGAGCUGGUGCUUAGAGGAGACAUAGGCUCUGCAACCCUCCAAUUGUUUCUUGUUUUUCUGGGUUUUUUUUUGCUUUUUUUAAAAGUUUUUUUUUUGCUCUUUUUAAAAGAUGUUUAUUUAUUGUAUGUAAGUGCACUGUAGCUGUCUUCAGACACUGAGAAGAGGGCGUCAGAUCUCGUUACGGGUGCUUGUGAGCCACCACGUGGUCGCUGGGAUUUGAACUUCAGAGCUCUGGAAGAGCAGUCGGGGGCUCUUACCCACUGAGCCAUCUCGCCAGCCCCUGUUGUUGUUGUUGUUUUAAGAAUGGGCGGGUCUGCCCUUCACUCUGACAGGGCUGCUCUGGUGUGAGUGGUGGGGACUCAGCCCCGAGGCAUGCUGGGAGUUUUACUGCCCUGCGGGGGUCCAUGGUUCUCUAUGGGUUUCACUCUGAGGGGCGUCUGCAGCAGGAAGUGGGCCCCGGGGCAUGCUGGGAGCUGUAGUUAAUCUCUGAUGUCUGAGCCUUUCAAAGGCACUGAUGCGUUUAUUGCUGGAGUUAUUGAUCUAUUGAUUGGAUAUUUUAGGGUUUUUUUUCUUCCCAGACUUGGAGUCUCUGGGUUUCAUCCCAACACGCCCACUCGGCUGGGGCGCGUCCGCCAGUGGCGGGAGUAUGUCAGGGCAGCGUCGAAAUGUUUUAUUUUUAUUCUUUUUUAUUUCAGUAUUUUUUUUUUCGUUUUUCAAGACAGGGUUUCUCUUUAUAGUCCUGGCUAUGGUUUUUUCCCUAAUUAUUCUCUUUUUUAUUUUUAAUUUUUAAUUUAAUUUUUACUUUUUGGAGAAAGUGGUUAGAGACUUUAAGCACAGUGGUUAGACUGUGCUUCAGCCUGGCAAUGUAGACUUGCUCAGGGGCGCCACCUUGUGGCCACGGAUUGUCACUGCAACCCUCCAAUUUUUUUUUUUUUUUUUUUUUUUUUUUGCUUUUUUUAAAAGUUUUUUUGCUCUUUUUAAAAGAUGUUUAUUUAUUGUAUGUAAGUGCACUGUAGCUGUCUUCAGACACUCGAGAAGAGGGAGUCAGAUCUCGUUACGGGUGGUUGUGAGCCACCACGUGGUUGCUGGGAUUUGAACUUCAGACCUUUGUAUUUUUUUCCUAAUUAUUCUAAUUUUUAUUCUUAUUUUUAUUUUAUUUUAUUUUAUUUUUAUUUUACUUUUUGGUUUUUCAAGACAGGUUUUCUCUUUAUAGCCCUGGCUAUGGUUUUUUUUCCCUAAUUAUUCUUAUUAUUUUUAUUUUAUUUUAUUUUAGUUUUUUGGUUUUUCGAACAGGGUUUCUCUGUGUAGCCCUGGCUGUCCUGGAACUCACUUUGUAGACCAGGCUGGCCUCCAACUCAGAAAUCUGCCUGUCUCCGGCUCCCGAGUGCUGGGAUGAAAGGUGUGCACCACCACGCCCGACUCCAAUUUUUUUUAUUUAUUAUUUUUUUUGUUGUGUGAUUUGAAAGUCUAACACGUGUUUCUCUGUUUAUGGACCUGGAUCCCACGCCAGCGUCCACCGGUCACUGCCGCCGCCCACAGUGAUGUCACCCACGAAAGCACACACGUAGAAGCGGACGCCGUGGUCAAGAUGUCUCUGCCAUCCCCACAGGACGGACGGACGGACUCCACAAGGUAGGAAGCCUGCGCCGACCGCACCGCUGCACCCACCACAGCACACAGGACACACGCGGGCCCCGCGCCCGCCCAGGCACACGCGGCACACACGGCACACACGGCAGGCAGGCCAGGCACACGCAUCCGCAGGACCCGCCGCACCCGCCACGCAGACACGGACGAGCCGCCGCGGUCAAGAUGUUCACCCGCCGUGGUCAAGAUGUAUGUGCCACCGACCCUCGCCCCGCUGGACGGACGGACGGACGCACGCACGCCGUCAGGUGCGCGUGUCGCCGAGGCCGCCAGGACGGAGCGAUUCUCACGGAGGAAGGAGCACGCCAACGGGGCCUGACUGCGUACAGAAAUGUCCCCCUCAAUAAAAUUGCAGUUGAAAUGGA
Molecule: long non-coding RNA, 3347 nt
Filed under: Mus musculus (house mouse)
Lineage: Eukaryota; Metazoa; Chordata; Mammalia; Rodentia; Muridae
Description: erythroid differentiation regulator 1 y
Source: RNAcentral